UACGAAGGGGGCUAGCGUUGCUCGGAAUCACUGGGCGUAAAGGGUGCGUAGGCGGGUCUUUAAGUCAGGGGUGAAAUCCUGGAGCUCAACUCCAGAACUGCCUUUGAUACUGAAGAUCUUGAGUUCGGGAGAGGUGAGUGGAACUGCGAGUGUAGAGGUGAAAUUCGUAGAUAUUCGCAAGAACACCAGUGGCGAAGGCGACUUACUGGACUGUAACUGACGCUGAGGCAUGAAAGCGUGGGGAGCAAACAGG
This 253-nucleotide ribosomal RNA is filed under the name uncultured bacterium. RNAcentral's name for it is "partial 16S ribosomal RNA". It matches the Rfam family "Bacterial small subunit ribosomal RNA", at positions 524 to 776 of the family's 1533-position model. The record is from RNAcentral.